Molecule: non-coding RNA, 48 nt
Filed under: Schistosoma curassoni
Lineage: Eukaryota; Metazoa; Platyhelminthes; Trematoda; Strigeidida; Schistosomatidae
Source: RNAcentral
AUCCAUAUGACGAGUCCCGAAUAGGACGAAACGCGCGUCAAACUGGAU